GCGCUCACGUCAGCAGCUCAUAUACUAAAAGUGGAACGACACAGAGAGAUCAGCAUGGCCCCCGCAAAAGGGUGACACGCAAAUGUGGGAAGUGCUCCAUAUUUUU
Fukomys damarensis (Damara mole-rat) is the source of this 106-nucleotide small nuclear RNA. NCBI's taxonomy places the organism in Eukaryota, Metazoa, Chordata, Mammalia, Rodentia, Bathyergidae. The record is from Ensembl.